Rattus norvegicus (Norway rat) is the source of this 69-nucleotide non-coding RNA. Lineage: Eukaryota; Metazoa; Chordata; Mammalia; Rodentia; Muridae. The record is from Rfam.
GGGGACUUAGCUCAGUGGUAGAGCGCUUGCCUAGGAAGCGCAAGGCCCUGGGUUCGGUCCCCAGCUCCA